GAUGAACGCCGGCGGCGUGCCUAAUACAUGCAAGUCGAGCGAACGGACGAGAAGCUUGCUUCUCUGAUGUUAGCGGCGGACGGGUGAGUAACACGUGGAUAACCUACCUAUAAGACUGGGAUAACUUCGGGAAACCGGAGCUAAUACCGGAUAAUAUUUUGAACCGCAUGGUUCAAAAGUGAAAGACGGUCUUGCUGUCACUUAUAGAUGGAUCCGCGCUGCAUUAGCUAGUUGGUAAGGUAACGGCUUACCAAGGCAACGAUGCAUAGCCGACCUGAGAGGGUGAUCGGCCACACUGGAACUGAGACACGGUCCAGACUCCUACGGGAGGCAGCAGUAGGGAAUCUUCCGCAAUGGGCGAAAGCCUGACGGAGCAAUGCCGCGUGAGUGAUGAAGGUCUUCGGAUCGUAAAACUCUGUUAUUAGGGAAGAACAUAUGUGUAAGUAACUGUGCACAUCUUGACGGUACCUAAUCAGAAAGCCACGGCUAACUACGUG
RNAcentral lists this ribosomal RNA (497 nucleotides) under uncultured bacterium. Its description in RNAcentral is "partial 16S ribosomal RNA". It matches the Rfam family "Bacterial small subunit ribosomal RNA", at positions 28 to 507 of the family's 1533-position model. The record is from RNAcentral.